GAUGAACGCUGGCGGCGUGCCUAAUACAUGCAAGUCGAGCGAACAGACGAGGAGCCUGCUCCUUUGACGUUAGCGGCGGACGGGUGAGUAACACGUGGGUAACCUACCUAUAAGACUGGGAUAACUUCGGGAAACCGGAGCUAAUACCGGAUAAUAUUUCGAACCGCAUGGUUCGAUAGUGGAAGAUGGCUCUGCUCUCACUUAUAGAUGGACCUGCGCCGUAUUAGCUAGUUGGUAAGGUAACGGCUUACCAAGGCAACGAUACGUAGCCGACCUGAGAGGGUGAUCGGCCACACUGGAACUGAGACACGGUCCAGACUCCUACGGGAGGCAGCAGUAGGGAAUCUUCCGCAAUGGGCGAAAGCCUGACGGAGCAACGCCGCGUGAGUGAUGAAGGUCUUCGGAUCGUAAAACUCUGUUAUUAGGGAAGAACAAACGUGUAAGUAACUGUGCACGUCUUGACGGUACCUAAUCAGAAAGCCACGGCUAACUACGUGCCAGCAGCCGCGGUAAUACGUAGGUGGCAAGCGUUAUCCGGAAUUAUUGGGCGUAAAGCGCGCGUAGGCGGUUUUUUAAGUCUGAUGUGAAAGCCCACGGCUCAACCGUGGAGGGUCAUUGGAAACUGGAAAACUUGAGUGCAGAAGAGGAAAGUGGAAUUCCAUGUGUAGCGGUGAAAUGCGCAGAGAUAUGGAGGAACACCAGUGGCGAAGGCGACUUUCUGGUCUGUAACUGACGCUGACGUGCGAAAGCGUGGGGAUCAAACAGGAUUAGAUACCCUGGUAGUCCACGCCGUAAACGAUGAGUGCUAAGUGUUAGGGGGUUUCCGCCCCUUAGUGCUGCAGCUAACGCAUUAAGCACUCCGCCUGGGGAGUACGACCGCAAGGUUGAAACUCAAAGGAAUUGACGGGGACCCGCACAAGCGGUGGAGCAUGUGGUUUAAUUCGAAGCAACGCGAAGAACCUUACCAAAUCUUGACAUCCUUUGACCCUUCUAGAGAUAGAAGUUUCCCCUUCGGGGGACAAAGUGACAGGUGUUGCAUGGUUGUCGUCAGCUCGUGUCGUGAGAUGUUGGGUUAAGUCCCGCAACGAGCGCAACCCUUAAGCUUAGUUGCCAUCAUUAAGUUGGGCACUCUAAGUUGACUGCCGGUGACAAACCGGAGGAAGGUGGGGAUGACGUCAAAUCAUCAUGCCCCUUAUGAUUUGGGCUACACACGUGCUACAAUGGACAAUACAAAGGGCAGCGAAACCGCGAGGUCAAGCAAAUCCCAUAAAGUUGUUCUCAGUUCGGAUUGUAGUCUGCAACUCGACUACAUGAAGCUGGAAUCGCUAGUAAUCGUAGAUCAGCAUGCUACGGUGAAUACGUUCCCGGGUCU
RNAcentral lists this ribosomal RNA (1372 nucleotides) under uncultured bacterium. Its description in RNAcentral is "bacterial SSU rRNA". It matches the Rfam family "Bacterial small subunit ribosomal RNA", at positions 28 to 1381 of the family's 1533-position model. The record is from RNAcentral.